GUGGGAUGAGCUUCAGAUGACGAGUCUGAAGUGUCGUGGCGAGGCUUCCUUGUCGCGGCUUCCGUGACGAUGUCUAAAAUUUAUACCAUUCAUGCUUUUCUGAUC
This 105-nucleotide small nucleolar RNA is filed under the name Laetiporus sulphureus 93-53. The record is from RNAcentral. Lineage: Eukaryota; Fungi; Basidiomycota; Agaricomycetes; Polyporales; Laetiporaceae.